Molecule: ribosomal RNA, 468 nt
Filed under: uncultured bacterium
Lineage: Bacteria
Description: partial 16S ribosomal RNA
Rfam family: Bacterial small subunit ribosomal RNA
Source: RNAcentral
GACGAACGCUGGCGGCGUGCUUAACACAUGCAAGUCGAACGGAAAGGCCCUGCUUUUGUGGGGUGCUCGAGUGGCGAACGGGUGAGUAACACGUGAGUAACCUGCCCUUGACUUUGGGAUAACUUCAGGAAACUGGGGCUAAUACCGGAUAGGAGCUCCUGCUGCAUGGUGGGGGUUGGAAAGUUUCGGCGGUUGGGGAUGGACUCGCGGCUUAUCAGCUUGUUGGUGGGGUAGUGGCUUACCAAGGCUUUGACGGGUAGCCGGCCUGAGAGGGUGACCGGACACAUUGGGACUGAGAUACGGCCCAGACUCCUACGGGAGGCAGCAGUGGGGAAUAUUGCACAAUGGGCGGAAGCCUGAUGCAGCAACGCCGCGUGCGGGAUGACGGCCUUCGGGUUGUAAACCGCUUUCGCAUGUGACGAAGCGUGAGUGACGGUAAUGGGUAAAGAAGCACCGGCUAACUACGUG